RNAcentral lists this non-coding RNA (82 nucleotides) under Micromonospora lupini str. Lupac 08. RNAcentral describes it as "ZMP/ZTP riboswitch aptamer (pfl RNA motif)". It matches the Rfam family "ZMP/ZTP riboswitch aptamer (pfl RNA motif)". Rfam says of the family: Previously known as pfl RNA. ZMP is also known as AICAR. Lineage: Bacteria; Bacillati; Actinomycetota; Actinomycetes; Micromonosporales; Micromonosporaceae. The record is from Rfam by way of RNAcentral.
CGAACCACCGGCGACUGGCGGCACGGGGAUGGUGGAACCAUCGGGGAGCCUCUCGCGGACGUCGACCGCCUGGGCGCCCGCG